AUACGGAGAAAAGAACCCACCAGGGAUUGCCUCAGUAACGGCGAGUGAAGCGGCAAUAGCUCAAAUUUGAAAUCUGGCUCUUUUAGAGUCCGAGUUGUAAUUUGUAGAGGAUGCUUCGGCUUACGUCUCGGUCUAAGUUCCUUGGAACAGGACGUCACAGAGGGUGAGAAUCCCGUUUGUGGCCGCGACUUCCGCCCAUGUGAAGCUCCUUCGACGAGUCGAGUUGUUUGGGAAUGCAGCUCUAAAUGGGAGGUAUAUUUCUUCUAAAGCUAAAUACCGGCCAGAGACCGAUAGCGCACAAGUAGAGUGAUCGAAAGAUGAAAAGCACUUUGGAAAGAGAGUUAAAAAGUACGUGAAAUUGUUGAAAGGGAAGCGCUUGCGACCAGACUUGCCCGCGGAUGCUCAACCGGUCCUUCGGCCGGUGCACUCUUCCGCGGUCAGGCCAGCAUCAGUUCGAGCAGUUGGAUAAAGGCUUUGGGAAUGUGGCUCUCUUCGGGGAGUGUUAUAGCCCUUUGUGCAAUACAACUCGCUUGGACUGAGGCCCGCGCUUCGGCUAGGAUGCUGGCGUAAUGGUCGUAAGCGGCCCGUCUUGAAACACGGACCAAGGAGUCUAACAUCUAUGCGAGUGUUUGGGUGUCAAACCCGUGCGCGAAAUGAAAGUGAACGGAGGUGGGAACCUUUGGGUGCACCAUCGACCGAUCCUGAUGUCUUCGGAUGGAUUUGAGUAAGAGCAUAGCUGUUGGGACCCGAAAGAUGGUGAACUAUGCCUGAAUAGGGUGAAGCCAGAGGAAACUCUGGUGGAGGCUCGCAGCGGGUUCUGACGUGCAAAUCGAUCGUCAAAUUUGGGUAUAGGGGGCGAAAGACUAAUCGAACCUCUA
This 878-nucleotide ribosomal RNA is filed under the name Tubeufia guttulata. RNAcentral's name for it is "Tubeufia sp. JM-2023a partial large subunit ribosomal RNA". It matches the Rfam family "Eukaryotic large subunit ribosomal RNA", at positions 48 to 946 of the family's 3401-position model. Lineage: Eukaryota; Fungi; Ascomycota; Dothideomycetes; Tubeufiales; Tubeufiaceae. The record is from RNAcentral.